CUACGGGUCGCUGCAGUGGGGAAUAUUGGACAAUGGGCGCAAGCCUGAUCCAGCAAUGCCGCGCGAGUGAAGACGGCCUUAGGGUUGUAAAACUCUUUCGCUAGGGAAGAUAAUGACUGUACCUAGUAAAGAAGUCCCGGCUAACUCCUUGCCAGCAGCCGCGGUAAUACGGAGGGGACUAGCGUUGUUCGGAAUUACUGGGCGUAAAGAGUUCGUAGGCGGACUGACAAGUUAGAGGUGAAAUCCCAGGGCUCAACCCUGGAACUGCCUUUAAAACUGUCAGUCUAGAGACCGGAAGAGGUUAGGGGAAUACCUAGUGUAGAGGUGAAAUUCGUAGAUAUUAGGUGGAACACCAGUGGCGAAGGCGCCUAACUGGUCCGGUACUGACGCUGAGGAACGAAAGCGUGGGGAGCAAACAGGAUUAGAUACCCCCGUAGUC
Molecule: ribosomal RNA, 439 nt
Filed under: uncultured bacterium
Lineage: Bacteria
Description: partial 16S ribosomal RNA
Rfam family: Bacterial small subunit ribosomal RNA
Source: RNAcentral